ACGCUGGCGGCAGGCCUAACACAUGCAAGUCGAGCGGAAACGAGUUAACUGACCCUUCGGGUGACGUUAACGGCGUCGAGCGGCGGACGGGUGAGUAAUGCCUGGGAAAUUGCCCUGAUGUGGGGGAUAACCAUUGGAAACGAUGGCUAAUACCGCAUAAUGCCUUCGGGCCAAAGAGGGGGACCUUCGGGCCUCUCGCGUCAGGAUAUGCCCAGGUGGGAUUAGCUAGUUGGUGAGGUAAUGGCUCACCAAGGCGACGAUCCCUAGCUGGUCUGAGAGGAUGAUCAGCCACACUGGAACUGAGACACGGUCCAGACUCCUACGGGAGGCAGCAGUGGGGAAUAUUGCACAAUGGGCGCAAGCCUGAUGCAGCCAUGCCGCGUGUGUGAAGAAGGCCUUCGGGUUGUAAAGCACUUUCAGCAGUGAGGAAGGCGGGUACGUUAAUAGCGUGCUCGUUUGACGUUAGCUGCAGAAGAAGCACCGGCUAACUCC
This 492-nucleotide ribosomal RNA is filed under the name Vibrio cf. shilonii. RNAcentral describes it as "bacterial SSU rRNA". It matches the Rfam family "Bacterial small subunit ribosomal RNA", at positions 33 to 504 of the family's 1533-position model. The record is from RNAcentral. Lineage: Bacteria; Pseudomonadati; Pseudomonadota; Gammaproteobacteria; Vibrionales; Vibrionaceae.